GACGAACGCUGGCGGCAAGCUUAACACAUGCAAGUCGAACGCCGUAGCAAUACGGAGUGGCAGACGGGUGAGUAACACGUGGGAACGUGCCUUUCGGUUCGGAACAACUGAGGGAAACUUCAGCUAAAACCGGAUACGCCCUUCGGGGGAAAGUUUACGCCGAAAGAUCGGCCCGCGUCAGAUUAGGUAGUUGGCGGGGUAAUGGCCCACCAGGCCGAUGAUCUGUAGCUGUUCUGAGAGGAAGAUCAGCCACACUGGGACUGAGACACGGCCCAGACUCCUACGGGAGGCAGCAGUGGGGAAUAUUGGACAAUGGGCGCAAGCCUGAUCCAGCUAUGCCGCGUGGAUGAAGAAGGCCUUCGGGUUGUAAGGUCCUUUCGGCGGGGAAGAUAAUGACGGUACCCGCAGAAGAAGCCCCGGCUAAUUUCGUGCCAGCCGCCGCGGUAA
RNAcentral lists this ribosomal RNA (447 nucleotides) under uncultured bacterium. Its description in RNAcentral is "partial 16S ribosomal RNA". It matches the Rfam family "Bacterial small subunit ribosomal RNA", at positions 28 to 523 of the family's 1533-position model. The record is from RNAcentral.